UGGGGAAUAUUGCACAAUGGGCGGAAGCCUGAUGCAGCGACGCCGCGUGGGGGAUGAAGGCCUUCGGGUUGUAAACUCCUUUCGACAGGGACGAAGCUUUUGUGACGGUACCUGUAUAAGAAGCACCGGCUAACUACGUGCCAGCAGCCGCGGUAAUACGUAGGGUGCGAGCGUUGUCCGGAAUUACUGGGCGUAAAGAGCUCGUAGGUGGUUUGUCGCGUCGUCCGUGAAAUUCCGGGGCUUAACUCCGGGCGUGCAGGCGAUACGGGCUGACUUGAGUGCUGUAGGGGAGACUGGAAUUCCUGGUGUAGCGGUGAAAUGCGCAGAUAUCAGGAGGAACACCGAUGGCGAAGGCAGGUCUCUGGGCAGUAACUGACGCUGAGGAGCGAAAGCAUGGGUAGCGAACAGG
This 409-nucleotide ribosomal RNA is filed under the name Actinomycetes bacterium. Its description in RNAcentral is "Actinobacteria bacterium partial 16S ribosomal RNA". It matches the Rfam family "Bacterial small subunit ribosomal RNA", at positions 355 to 776 of the family's 1533-position model. The record is from RNAcentral. Lineage: Bacteria; Bacillati; Actinomycetota; Actinomycetes.